This 252-nucleotide ribosomal RNA is filed under the name uncultured bacterium. RNAcentral describes it as "partial 16S ribosomal RNA". It matches the Rfam family "Bacterial small subunit ribosomal RNA", at positions 524 to 776 of the family's 1533-position model. The record is from RNAcentral.
UACGUAGGGGGCUAGCGUUAUCCGGAAUUACUGGGCGUAAAGGGUGCGUAGGUGGUUUUAUAAGUCAGAGGUGAAAGGCUACGGCUCAACCGUAGUAAGCCUUUGAAACUAUAAAACUUGAGUGCAGGAGAGGAAAGUAGAAUUCCCAGUGUAGCGGUGAAAUGCGUAGAUAUUGGGAGGAAUACCAGUUGCGAAGGCGGCUUUCUGGACUGUAACUGACACUGAGGCACGAAAGCGUGGGGAGCUAACAGG